AGGGAAGGGGCGCGGCUCGGCCGGCUUUGGGGAUGUUGUCGAGCAGCUGUGUUGAACUUUAUUUAUUAAACAGCAGCGUCGCGGUUUUUCCUUUUUCUGCGCCUCCUAACAUCCUCACAACACUUGAGACGGCUGUUCAAUAUACGGGUCUCGGCAGAAAAUAAAAGCUAGAAAAGAAGAUACAGUAUUCUUCCUUCAAGACAGCACAGCUUUUACUGUCUACUGUACAACUCUGUUGACUAGCCAAGAUAAAUGAGGCAAGCAGGCCUAUAGAAUAUAUUUUGAAGUUUGUCCUGGAAGAUGAGCUUCAUCAAAUAGAUACAUAUUCUGUAGAAGAGAAAAUGCCUUUUGUUAGACAUCUGAACGAAGUCCAGAGGAUCAUCUCUACACAAUGACUCUCAGAUGCAAAGGAAAAUCUUCGACCUCUUCUUUUAGCACCUGUUAAAAGGUUUGGACUUCUGGGAUGUUCUUGACAUCAACCACAGCUUGGAGGGACAUCUGCCCUUUUACCACCAGCUAUUCAUGUUAAACCAGUGCAGUACCAACAGAGAGCUUCAGCUAAGAAGACACUGACAGCAGAGAACAGUGGAAGUCCUGUAACCACCAUCACACCCUCUGUCACCUGUGAGAAAUUAAAAAUUUAAAAAGGCUUUUCCAUUAAAACAAAUGCUCAUGAAUGUCACUGCUGCACCUUUGUGAUUUUAAAUUCAAGUUGUAAAGAGUCACAGAAUAAAGUUGUGUGUUUUACACAGUUGCCAUCA
Long non-coding RNA from Haemorhous mexicanus (house finch), 761 nucleotides. RefSeq lists it as uncharacterized. NCBI's taxonomy places the organism in Eukaryota, Metazoa, Chordata, Aves, Passeriformes, Fringillidae. The transcript is spliced from 5 exons. The record is from RefSeq and is a predicted model, not a curated record.